UCCCAUGAUCCCGUACUAUCACAGAAGUUAAGCAACGCCGAGCCUGGCCAGUAUUUAGAUGGGUGAACGCUGGGGAAUAACAGGUGCUGUAAG
This is a non-coding RNA of Acanthosepion pharaonis, 93 nucleotides long. The record is from the annotation of a GenBank genome assembly. Lineage: Eukaryota; Metazoa; Mollusca; Cephalopoda; Sepiida; Sepiidae.